GAUGAACGCUGGCGGCGUGCCUAAUACAUGCAAGUCGAGCGAACGGACGAGAAGCUUGCUUUUCUGAUGUUAGCGGCGGACGGGUGAGUAACACGUGGAUAACCUACCUAUAAGACUGGGAUAACUUCGGGAAACCGGAGCUAAUACCGGAUAAUAUUUUGAACCGCAUGGUUCAAAAGUGAAAGACGGUCUUGCUGUCACUUAUAGAUGGAUCCGCGCUGCAUUAGCUAGUUGGUAAGGUAACGGCUUACCAAGGCAACGAUGCAUAGCCGACCUGAGAGGGUGAUCGGCCACACUGGAACUGAGACACGGUCCAGACUCCUACGGGAGGCAGCAGUAGGGAAUCUUCCGCAAUGGGCGAAAGCCUGACGGAGCAACGCCGCGUGAGUGAUGAAGGUCUUCGGAUCGUAAAACUCUGUUAUUAGGGAAGAACAUAUGUGUAAGUAACUGUGCACAUCUUGACGGUACCUAAUCAGAAAGCCACGGCUAACUACGUGCCAGCAGCCGCGGUAAUACGUAGGUGGCAAGCGUUAUCCGGAAUUAUUGGGCGUAAAGCGCGCGUAGGCGGUUUUUUAAGUCUGAUGUGAAAGCCCACGGCUCAACCGUGGAGGGUCAUUGGAAACUGGAAAACUUGAGUGCAGAAGAGGAAAGUGGAAUUCCAUGUGUAGCGGUGAAAUGCGCAGAGAUAUGGAGGAACACCAGUGGCGAAGGCGACUUUCUGGUCUGUAACUGACGCUGAUGUGCGAAAGCGUGGGGAUCAAACAGGAUUAGAUACCCUGGUAGUCCACGCCGUAAACGAUGAGUGCUAAGUGUUAGGGGGUUUCCGCCCCUUAGUGCUGCAGCUAACGCAUUAAGCACUCCGCCUGGGGAGUACGACCGCAAGGUUGAAACUCAAAGGAAUUGACGGGGACCCGCACAAGCGGUGGAGCAUGUGGUUUAAUUCGAAGCAACGCGAAGAACCUUACCAAAUCUUGACAUCCUUUGACAACUCUAGAGAUAGAGCCUUCCCCUUCGGGGGACAAAGUGACUGGUGGUGCAUGGUUGUCGUCAGCUCGUGUCGUGAGAUGUUGGGUUAAGUCCCGCAACGAGCGCAACCCUUAAGCUUAGUUGCCAUCAUUAAGUUGGGCACUCUAAGUUGACUGCCGGUGACAAACCGGAGGAAGGUGGGGAUGACGUCAAAUCAUCAUGCCCCUUAUGAUUUGGGCUACACACGUGCUACAAUGGACAAUACAAAGGGCAGCGAAACCGCGAGGUCAAGCAAAUCCCAUAAAGUUGUUCUCAGUUCGGAUUGUAGUCUGCAACUCGACUACAUGAAGCUGGAAUCGCUAGUAAUCGUAGAUCAGCAUGCUACGGUGAAUACGUUCCCGGGUCU
This 1372-nucleotide ribosomal RNA is filed under the name uncultured bacterium. Its description in RNAcentral is "bacterial SSU rRNA". It matches the Rfam family "Bacterial small subunit ribosomal RNA", at positions 28 to 1381 of the family's 1533-position model. The record is from RNAcentral.